RNAcentral lists this transfer RNA (73 nucleotides) under Desulfobulbaceae bacterium. RNAcentral describes it as "tRNA-Thr". It matches the Rfam family "tRNA". From Rfam's summary of the family: Transfer RNA (tRNA) molecules are approximately 80 nucleotides in length. Their secondary structure includes four short double-helical elements and three loops (D, anti-codon, and T loops). RNAcentral also lists the same sequence under 1 other name. Lineage: Bacteria; Pseudomonadati; Thermodesulfobacteriota; Desulfobulbia; Desulfobulbales; Desulfobulbaceae. The record is from RNAcentral.
GCCACCUUAGCUCAGUUGGUAGAGCAACUGUUUCGUAAAUAGUGGGUCGUGGGUUCAAGUCCCUCAGGUGGCU